This 484-nucleotide ribosomal RNA is filed under the name uncultured bacterium. RNAcentral describes it as "partial 16S ribosomal RNA". It matches the Rfam family "Bacterial small subunit ribosomal RNA", at positions 29 to 507 of the family's 1533-position model. The record is from RNAcentral.
AUUGAACGCUGGCGGAAUGCUUUACACAUGCAAGUCGAGCGGCAGCGCGGCCUUCGGGCUGGCGGCGAGCGGCGAACGGGUGAGUAAUGCAUCGGAACAUGCCCAGUCGUGGGGGAUAACACUUCGAAAGAAGUGCUAAUACCGCAUACGUCCUGAGGGGGAAAGCGGGGGACCGCAAGACCUCGCGCGAUUGGAGUGGCCGAUGUCAGAUUAGCUAGUUGGUGGGGUAAAGGCCUACCAAGGCGACGAUCUGUAGCUGGUCUGAGAGGAUGAUCAGCCACACUGGGACUGAGACACGGCCCAGACUCCUACGGGAGGCAGCAGUGGGGAAUUUUGGACAAUGGGGGCAACCCUGAUCCAGCCAUUCCGCGUGAGUGAAGAAGGCCUUCGGGUUGUAAAGCUCUUUCGGCAGGAACGAAACGGUGGGCUCUAACAUAGUCCGCUAAUGACGGUACCUGAAGAAGAAGCACCGGCUAACUACGUG